UCGCCUACACGAAGUUGGAAUUGCUAGUAAUCGUGGAUCAGCAUGCCACGGUGAAUACGUUCCCGGGUCUUGUACACACCGCCCGUCACACCAUGGGAGCUGGUAACACCCGAAGUUGGUAGCCUAACCGCAAGGAGGGCGCCGCCUAAGGUGGGAUUGAUGACUGGGGUGAAGUCGUAACAAGGUAAC
RNAcentral lists this ribosomal RNA (189 nucleotides) under uncultured bacterium. RNAcentral describes it as "partial 16S ribosomal RNA". It matches the Rfam family "Bacterial small subunit ribosomal RNA", at positions 1312 to 1500 of the family's 1533-position model. The record is from RNAcentral.